This 112-nucleotide small nuclear RNA is filed under the name Crocodylus porosus (Australian saltwater crocodile). Its description in RNAcentral is "U1 spliceosomal RNA (ENSCPRG00005012305.1)". Lineage: Eukaryota; Metazoa; Chordata; Crocodylia; Crocodylidae. The record is from RNAcentral.
AUACUUACCUGGUAGGGGAAUACCAUAACCAAGAAGGUGGUUUUCCUAGUUGUCGGGGGAAACCACUUUCUUGGCAGGAGAUUAUGCAGUGGGAAGAUCUUGCCUACAUGCC